This 556-nucleotide ribosomal RNA is filed under the name uncultured bacterium. RNAcentral describes it as "bacterial SSU rRNA". It matches the Rfam family "Bacterial small subunit ribosomal RNA", at positions 102 to 694 of the family's 1533-position model. The record is from RNAcentral.
ACGGGUGCGUAACGCGUGGGAAUCUGCCCUUAGGUUCGGAAUAACAGCUGGAAACGGCUGCUAAUACCGGAUGAUAUCGCGAGAUCAAAGAUUUAUCGCCUGAGGAUGAGCCCGCGUUGGGUUAGGUAGUUGGUGGGUAAAGGCCUACCAAGCCGACGAUCCAUAGCUGGUCUGAGAGGAUGAUCAGCCACACUGGGACUGAGACACGGCCCAGACUCCUACGGGAGGCAGCAGUGGGGAAUAUUGGACAAUGGGCGCAAGCCUGAUCCAGCAAUGCCGCGUGAGUGAUGAAGGCCCUAGGGUUGUAAAGCUCUUUUACCCGGGAAGAUAAUGACUGUACCGGGAGAAUAAGCCCCGGCUAACUCCGUGCCAGCAGCCGCGGUAAUACGGAGGGGGCUAGCGUUGUUCGGAAUUACUGGGCGUAAAGCGCACGUAGGCGGCUUUGUAAGUCAGAGGUGAAAGCCUGGAGCUCAACUCCAGAACUGCCUUUGAGACUGCAUCGCUUGAAUCCAGGAGAGGUCAGUGGAAUUCCGAGUGUAGAGGUGAAAUUCGUAGA